This is a long non-coding RNA of Cyprinus carpio carpio, 815 nucleotides long. Lineage: Eukaryota; Metazoa; Chordata; Actinopteri; Cypriniformes; Cyprinidae. The record is from Ensembl.
UUAUAUUAUACAAAGACUAGUAGUUUAGAGAUCAGCUGAAUGAAGAAAAAUUUAAUGCUGAGCACCCUUUAAUGCUGAAGCUGUGUGCCGUUACCCUUGUGGUCAGAAUAUGGAGUGCUCCCAGCCCAACACUUGUACCUGUAAAGAGGGUCACACUGGAUACAACUGCCACAUCGUUGUGUGCCGACCAGACUGCAAGAACAAAGGGAAGUGUGUGAAGCCCAAUGUGUGUGAAUGUCCUGCAAGGAAAAUGGCCCCACCUGUGAGGAAGCCAGCUGUGACCCGCAUUGUCAACAUGGUGGCCGCUGUUUGUCCAGAAAUCACUGCACUUGUCCUUAUGGCUAUGUGGGACCAAGAUGUGAAACUAGUGGGCAGACAUUUCCACAUUUCUAAAUAUGAAGAAUUUUGUUCAUAAUGAUUGUGUGCCAUUGCCUUUGAGUGUUUUCAGUGGUGUGUAACAGACAUUGUGAAAAUGGUGGCAUGUGUGUGUCACCUGAUGUCUGUAAGUGUAAACCCGGCUGGUAUGGACCAACGUGUAACUCAGCCGACUGUAAGCCCUUGUGCUUAAACGGAGGGACUUGUAUCAAACCAAACAUCUGUGCCUGUCCUAGUGGCUUCUAUGGUUCACAGUGCCAGAUAGACUAGGUGAUUAAGAACUGAAAUUGAAGAUGACGUUAUCAUAGCAUUAGUGCCCUAAAAGUGAAGGAAACUUUUAUUGUACUUCAAUUAGAAAAUAAGACUUUUUUAAGACCCUGUAUUAGAUUAUUACAGUAUUUAAAGUGUUACACUGUAUGUGCAUGUUGUGCAGCUCUGAC